UGACUCCAAAAUCUUUGGCUGGUACUUAUUGACAGAUACUCUAUAUUUGUCUCUAACAUAAGGGGAAAUUAAGCCUCCUUGGCAAGUUCACAUAACAUGUGCGGCACCAAGAUGACAAUAUGAAAAGAUGUAGAGUAGAGA
Long non-coding RNA from Capsicum annuum, 141 nucleotides. RefSeq lists it as uncharacterized. The record is from RefSeq and is a predicted model, not a curated record. The transcript has 2 exons. Lineage: Eukaryota; Viridiplantae; Streptophyta; Magnoliopsida; Solanales; Solanaceae.